RNAcentral lists this ribosomal RNA (283 nucleotides) under Salmonella enterica. Its description in RNAcentral is "partial 16S ribosomal RNA". It matches the Rfam family "Bacterial small subunit ribosomal RNA", at positions 1 to 280 of the family's 1533-position model. Lineage: Bacteria; Pseudomonadati; Pseudomonadota; Gammaproteobacteria; Enterobacterales; Enterobacteriaceae. RNAcentral also lists the same sequence under 2 other names. The record is from RNAcentral.
AAAUUGAAGAGUUUGAUCAUGGCUCAGAUUGAACGCUGGCGGCAGGCCUAACACAUGCAAGUCGAACGGUAACAGGAAGCAGCUUGCUGCUUCGCUGACGAGUGGCGGACGGGUGAGUAAUGUCUGGGAAACUGCCUGAUGGAGGGGGAUAACUACUGGAAACGGUGGCUAAUACCGCAUAACGUCGCAAGACCAAAGAGGGGGACCUUCGGGCCUCUUGCCAUCAGAUGUGCCCAGAUGGGAUUAGCUAGUUGGUGAGGUAACGGCUCACCAAGGCGACGAU